CCUACGGGCGGCAGCAGUGGGGGAUAUUGCACAAUGGGGGGAACCCUGAUGCAGCGACGCCGCGUGGGUGAAGGAGUGCUUCGGUAUGUAAAGCUCUAUCAGCAGGGAAGAAAAUGACGGUACCUGAGUAAGAAGCUCCGGCUAAAUACGUGCCAGCAGCCGCGGUAAUACGUAUGGAGUAAGCGUUAUCCGGAUUUACUGGGCGUAAAGGGAGCGUAGGCGGCCUGCCAAGUCUGAUGUGAAAUACCGGGGCUCAACCCCGGGGCUGCCGUUGAAACUGGGGAUCUUGAGUGGGCGAGAAGUAUGCGGAAUGCGUGGUGUAGCGGUGAAAUGCAUAGAUAUCACGCAGAACUCCGAUUGCGAAGGCAGCAUACCGGCGCCCGACUGACGCUGAGGCACGAAAGCGUGGGGAUCGAACAGGAUUAGAUACCCGGGUAGUC
This 440-nucleotide ribosomal RNA is filed under the name uncultured bacterium. Its description in RNAcentral is "partial 16S ribosomal RNA". It matches the Rfam family "Bacterial small subunit ribosomal RNA", at positions 338 to 795 of the family's 1533-position model. The record is from RNAcentral.